Molecule: transfer RNA, 71 nt
Filed under: Camelus bactrianus (Bactrian camel)
Lineage: Eukaryota; Metazoa; Chordata; Mammalia; Artiodactyla; Camelidae
Also listed under: 2 other names
Rfam family: tRNA
About the family: Transfer RNA (tRNA) molecules are approximately 80 nucleotides in length.
Source: Rfam by way of RNAcentral
GAGGGUAUAGCUCAGUGGUAGAGUGUGUGCUUAGCAUGCACAAGGUCCUGGGUUCAAUCCCAGUAUCUCCA